GAUGAACGCUGGCGGCGUGCCUAAUACAUGCAAGUCGAGCGAACAGACGAGGAGCUUGCUCCUCUGACGUUAGCGGCGGACGGGUGAGUAACACGUGGAUAACCUACCUAUAAUACUGGGAUAACUUCGGGAAACCGGCGCUAAUACCGGAUAAUAUAUUGAACCGCAUGGUUCAAUAGUGAAAGACGGUUUUGCUGUCUCUUAUAGAUGGAUCCGCGCCGCAUUAGCUAGUUGGUAAGGUAACGGCUUACCAAGGCAACGAUGCGUAGCCGAACUGAGAGGGUGAUCGGCCACACUGGAACUGAGACAGGGUCAAGACUCCUAAGGGAGGCAGCAGUAGGGAAUCUUCCGCAAUGGGCGAAAGCCUGACGGAGCAACGCCGCGUGAGUGAUGAAGGUCUUCGGAUCGUAAAACUCUGUUAUUAGGGAAGAACAAAUGUGUAAGUAACUAUGCACGUCUUGACGGUACCUAAUCAGAAAGCCACGGCUAACUACGUG
RNAcentral lists this ribosomal RNA (497 nucleotides) under uncultured bacterium. RNAcentral describes it as "partial 16S ribosomal RNA". It matches the Rfam family "Bacterial small subunit ribosomal RNA", at positions 28 to 507 of the family's 1533-position model. The record is from RNAcentral.